GUUCGCUGUAAGCCAUUGAUCUCCUAAUGGGUUUCUACGUUGUUCUGUUGCAGCCGCCCCGGGCACAUUCCGCGCUGCGCUCCCCGCGCUGUGACGCGCAUCGCCCCGCACCGCCGCCUGCCCGGAGGGAACGGCAGCGCGCAGGUUGGUGCCGACGCGCACACUGUUAGUGCAGCCUGAUGGCUCCGUUUCUUAAUUACCUCUCUCAGCCUGACUCGGACGCACGGGGCGCGGACGGGUGGCGGUCGCAGCGGCUCGGAGCCGCUCUGCCCGCGGUGCGGAGGCUGUUCCUGCCCGGGGUCGUUCGCGGCGCUGCGCGGCCCCCGGGCGGCGGUGUGCAUGGGGCCGUGCUCUACGUGUGAGCCCUGCCGGGCCCGAACCCGCUGCUGCGGGCUCUGCCGCUGUCACUGCGGCAACAGAGGUGCCGCGGGCGAUGUUUUCUCUAUAAGCAAAGCAAAGGGUGUGGAUCGAGGGCUGGAAAAGCACCAUCAAAGCGGCUCCUUCCUACGUCUGAGCGCCGAUCCGGUCACAGUUAAUCGGCGAACGUCACGACGGCUCUCUGAACAAAACGCCCUUCAGGGAAUCGCCAGAACCGGAGCGAUGGCCGCCUGCAGUGACAUCGAUGGGGGGCGGAUUUGGUGCCCCGAGACGUGUGCGAGUAAGAGCUCAGCCCCGCGCUGAUGGAAACGCGCUCACAGUCCGGUACGGUUUCACCGGUUUACAAACGCCGUCCAUUAAAACACGAUUAUUACCAAACGGCUUCUUUCUAUGCGAGAUCCUCAAAUCCGUUGUUUACAUUGCACCUAUAUUAACAAACCACAAAAUAAGCCCGUAGCGUUUUUAAGAGAGGUUUUAGGCUGGGAACGUGGAAACUUGCCUGGACGAAACGACACGGAAGCUGAAUGAAGGCGAGGAGAUUAUCUGUGUCUGAAGGUUGGGCAUUAGCCGCAAUGA
RNAcentral lists this long non-coding RNA (954 nucleotides) under Gallus gallus (chicken). RNAcentral's name for it is "long non-coding RNA NONGGAT002140". The record is from RNAcentral. Lineage: Eukaryota; Metazoa; Chordata; Aves; Galliformes; Phasianidae.